GACGAACCGUGCGAACGUUAUUCGGAAUCACUGGGCUUAAAGCGCGUGUAGGCGGGGCGGAACGUCGGAUGCUGAAAGCCCCCGGCUCAACCGGGGAAGUGGCACCGAUACGACCGCCCUCGAGGGACGUAGGGGGACCUGGAACUUCCGGUGGAGCGGUGAAAUGCGUUGAGAUCGGAAGGAACGCCCGUGGCGAAAGCGAGGUCCUGGACGUCUGCUGACGCUGAGACGCGAAAGCCAGGGGAGCGAACGGG
Molecule: ribosomal RNA, 254 nt
Filed under: uncultured bacterium
Lineage: Bacteria
Description: partial 16S ribosomal RNA
Rfam family: Bacterial small subunit ribosomal RNA
Source: RNAcentral